UAUGGCUAUAAGUUAAUGGUAGACUGUUUACCUUCCAAGUAAAGUGUGUCGAUUCGAAUUCGACUAGCCGUAUC
Molecule: transfer RNA, 74 nt
Filed under: Penicillium citrinum
Lineage: Eukaryota; Fungi; Ascomycota; Eurotiomycetes; Eurotiales; Aspergillaceae
Also listed under: 1 other name
Description: tRNA-Gly
Rfam family: tRNA
About the family: Transfer RNA (tRNA) molecules are approximately 80 nucleotides in length.
Source: RNAcentral